This 19-nucleotide non-coding RNA is filed under the name Mus musculus (house mouse). Lineage: Eukaryota; Metazoa; Chordata; Mammalia; Rodentia; Muridae. The record is from RNAcentral.
UAACCAUUGAGCAAAAGAA